Molecule: ribosomal RNA, 254 nt
Filed under: uncultured bacterium
Lineage: Bacteria
Description: partial 16S ribosomal RNA
Rfam family: Bacterial small subunit ribosomal RNA
Source: RNAcentral
UACGGGGGGAGCAAGCGUUGUUCGGAUUUACUGGGCGUAAAGGGCGCGUAGGCGGCCACCGCAAGUCGACUGUGAAAUCUCUGGGCUUAACUCAGAGCCUGCAGGCGAAACUGCCGUGCUGGAGUGUGGGAGAGGUGCGUGGAAUUCCCGGUGUAGCGGUGAAAUGCGCAGAUAUCAGGAGGAACACCCGUAGCGAAGGCGGCACUCUGGGCCGAUACUGACACUGAGGAGCGAAAGCGUGGGGAGCGAACAGG